AAAUGACUCUCGACAACGGAUAUCCCGGCUCUCGCAUCGAUGAAGAACGUAGCGAAAUGCGAUACUUGGUGUGAAUUGCAGAAUCCCGUGAACCAUCGAGUCUUUGAACGCAAGUUGCGCCCGAAGCCACAAGGCCGAGGGCACGUCUGCCUGGGUGUCACGC
This 163-nucleotide ribosomal RNA is filed under the name Arcuatopterus thalictroideus. Its description in RNAcentral is "5.8S ribosomal RNA". It matches the Rfam family "5.8S ribosomal RNA". From Rfam's summary of the family: 5.8S ribosomal RNA (5.8S rRNA) is a component of the large subunit of the eukaryotic ribosome. The record is from RNAcentral. Lineage: Eukaryota; Viridiplantae; Streptophyta; Magnoliopsida; Apiales; Apiaceae.